GGCCCAGUGGAGAAGCGGUUUAACUCGGUGCCCUCUCAAGGCAUUAUUCAUGGGUUCGAAUCCCGUUUGGGUCACCA
This 77-nucleotide transfer RNA is filed under the name Clostridium sp. RNAcentral's name for it is "tRNA-Glu". It matches the Rfam family "tRNA". Rfam says of the family: Transfer RNA (tRNA) molecules are approximately 80 nucleotides in length. Their secondary structure includes four short double-helical elements and three loops (D, anti-codon, and T loops). Further hydrogen bonds mediate the characteristic L-shaped molecular structure. tRNAs have two regions of fundamental functional importance: the anti-codon, which is responsible for specific mRNA codon recognition, and the 3' end, to which the tRNAs corresponding amino acid is attached (by aminoacyl-tRNA synthetases). tRNAs cope with the degeneracy of the genetic code in two manners: having more than one tRNA (with a specific anti-codon) for a particular amino acid; and 'wobble' base-pairing, i.e. permitting non-standard base-pairing at the 3rd anti-codon position. The record is from RNAcentral. Lineage: Bacteria; Bacillati; Bacillota; Clostridia; Eubacteriales; Clostridiaceae. RNAcentral also lists the same sequence under 2 other names.